RNAcentral lists this ribosomal RNA (1299 nucleotides) under uncultured organism. RNAcentral's name for it is "bacterial SSU rRNA". It matches the Rfam family "Bacterial small subunit ribosomal RNA", at positions 85 to 1426 of the family's 1533-position model. The record is from RNAcentral.
GGGGUUGGGAGUGGCGCACGGCUGAGGAACACGUGGGUGACCUGCCCUGGUGUGGGGGACAACGUACCGAAAGGUGCGCUAAUCCCGCAUACGCUCCUACGGGAGGAAAGCAGCGAUGCGCACCAGGAGGGGCCUGCGGCCCAUCAGGUGGUUGGUGAGGUAACGGCUCACCAAGCCGAUGACGGGUCCCUGGUCUGAGAGGACGACCAGGCAGACUGGGACUGAGACACGGCCCAGACUCCUACGGGAGGCAGCAGCAAGGGAUUUUCCGCAAUGGGCGCAAGCCUGACGGAGCAACGCCGCGUGCCGGAGGACGGCCUUCGGGUUGUAAACGGCUUUUAUCGGGGAAGAAACGGACGGUACCCGAGGAAUAAGCCCCGGCUAACUCCGUGCCAGCAGCCGCGGUAAUACGGAGGGGGCAAGCGUUGUCCGGACUUACUGGGCGUAAAGCGUGCGUAGGCGGCAGGGUGCGUCGGUGCUGAAAGCGCCCCGCUUAACGGGGCGAGGGGUACCGAUACGACCCCGCUCGAGGCAGUCAGAGGUUGGUAGAAUUCCGGGUGUAGUUGUGAAAUGCGUAGAUACCCGGAGGAAUGCCGGUGGCGAAAGCGACCAACUGGGGCUGGCCUGACGCUGAGGCACGAAAGCGUGGGGAGCGAACCGGAUUAGAUACCCGGGUAGUCCACGCCGUAAACGAUGUCGGCUUGGUGUUCGGCAGUAUGAAAGUGCUGCUGAGUGCCGAAGCUCACGCGCUAAGCCGACCGNCUGGGGACUACGAGCGCAAGCUUAAAACUCCAAGGACUUGACGGGGGCCCGCACAAGCAGCGGAGCGUGUGGUUUAAUUCGACGCAAACGCGAAGAACCUUACCCAGGUUNUGACAUGUGGCUGCAAGCGCACAGAAAUGUGUGACCUUCGAGGGUGCCACACAGGUGCUGCAUGGCUGUCGUCAGCUCGUGUCGUGAGAUGUUGGGUUAAGUCCCGCAACGAGCGCAACCCCUGCUGCCAGUUACUCGUGUCUGGUGGGACUGCCUUCGCUAACGGAGGAGGAAGGCGGGGAUGACGUCAAGUCCGCAUGGCCCUUACACCUGGGGCGACACACACGCUACAAUGGCCAGCACAAUGCGUCGCAAGCACGCAAGUGUUAGCUAAUCGCCGGAGCUGUCUCAGUACAGAUCGGGGGUGCAACUCGCCCCCGUGAAGGUGGAGUUGCUAGUAACCGCGUAUCAGCCAUGGCGCGGUGAUACGUGCCCGGGCCUUGUACACACCGCCCGUCACGUCAUGGGAGUCGGCAAUGCCUGAAG